AAAUAAAUGCUUCCGUAGGUGACCUGCGGAAGGAUCAUUACUGAGUGAGGGCCCUCUGGGUCCAACCUCCCACCCGUGUUUAUUGUACCUUGUUGCUUCGGCAGGCCCGCCUCACGGCCGCCGGGGGGCUUCUGCCCCCGGGCCCGCGCCUGCCGGAGACAAUCUUGAACGCUGUCUGAAGAAUGCAGUCUGAGCGAUUAAGCAAAAUUAGUUAAAACUUUCAACAACGGAUCUCUUGGUUCCGGCAUCGAUGAAGAACGCAGCGAAAUGCGAUAAUUAAUGUGAAUUGCAGAAUUCAGUGAAUCAUCGAGUCUUUGAACGCACAUUGCGCCCCCUGGUAUUCCGGGGGGCAUGCCUGUCCGAGCGUCAUUGCUGCCCUCAAGCACGGCUUGUUUGUUGGGUCUUGUUCCCCCGGGAACAGGCCCGAAAGGCAGUGGCGGCACCGUCCGAUCCUCGAGCGUAUGGGGCUUUGUCACCCGCUCUGUAGGCCCGGCCGGCGCUUGCCGACCCAAUCAAUCUUUUUCAGGUUGACCUCGGAUCAGGUAGGGAUACCCGCUGAACUUAAGCAUAUCAAUAGUCCCGGAGGAA
Molecule: ribosomal RNA, 588 nt
Filed under: Cladosporium sp. J-46
Lineage: Eukaryota; Fungi; Ascomycota; Dothideomycetes; Cladosporiales; Cladosporiaceae
Description: eukaryotic LSU rRNA
Rfam family: 5.8S ribosomal RNA (bases 216-369)
Source: RNAcentral